AUGAACGCUAGCGGCAGGCUUAACACAUGCAAGUCGAGGGGGUAGAAGGAGCUUGCUCCUUUGAGACCGGCGCACGGGUGCGUAACGCGUAUGCAAUCUACCUUUUGCAGAGGGAUAGCCCAGAGAAAUUUGGAUUAAUACCUCAUAGUAUGUGAGGAUGGCAUCAUUUUCACAUUAAAGUCACAACGGCAAAAGAUGAGCAUGCGUCCCAUUAGCUAGUUGGUAAGGUAACGGCUUACCAAGGCUACGAUGGGUAGGGGUCCUGAGAGGGAGAUCCCCCACACUGGUACUGAGACACGGACCAGACUCCUACGGGAGGCAGCAGUGAGGAAUAUUGGACAAUGGGCGCAAGCCUGAUCCAGCCAUGCCGCGUGCAGGAUGACGGUCCUAUGGAUUGUAAACUGCUUUUGUACAGGAAGAAACACUACUUCGUGAAGUAGCUUGACGGUACUGUAAGAAUAAGGAUCGGCUAACUCCGUG
This 480-nucleotide ribosomal RNA is filed under the name uncultured bacterium. Its description in RNAcentral is "bacterial SSU rRNA". It matches the Rfam family "Bacterial small subunit ribosomal RNA", at positions 29 to 507 of the family's 1533-position model. The record is from RNAcentral.